AUUGAACGCUGGCGGCAGGCCUAACACAUGCAAGUCGAACGGUAACAGGAAGCAGCUUGCUGCUUUGCUGACGAGUGGCGGACGGGUGAGUAAUGUCUGGGAAACUUCCCGAUGGAGGGGGAUAACUACUGGAAACGGUAGCUAAUACCGCAUAACGUCGCAAGACCAAAGAGGGGGACCUUAGGGCCUCUUGCCAUCGGAUGUGCCCAGAUGGGAUUAGCUAGUAGGUGGGGUAACGGCUCACCUAGGCGACGAUCCCUAGCUGGUCUGAGAGGAUGACCAGCCAAACUGGAACUGAGACACGGUCCAGACUCCUACGGGAGGCAGCAGUGGGGAAUAUUGCACAAUGGGCGCAAGCCUGAUGCAGCCAUGCCGCGUGUAUGAAGAAGGCCUUCGGGUUGUAAAGUACUUUCAGCGGGGAGGAAGGGAGUAAAGUUAAUACCUUUGCUCAUUGACGUUACCCGCAGAAGAAGCACCGGCUAACUCCGUG
This 490-nucleotide ribosomal RNA is filed under the name uncultured bacterium. RNAcentral's name for it is "partial 16S ribosomal RNA". It matches the Rfam family "Bacterial small subunit ribosomal RNA", at positions 30 to 507 of the family's 1533-position model. The record is from RNAcentral.